AGCGAACGCUGGCGGCAGGCCUAACACAUGCAAGUCGAACGAACCUUUCGGGGUUAGUGGCGGACGGGUGAGUAACACGUGGGAACGUGCCUUUAGGUUCGGAAUAACUCAGGGAAACUUGUGCUAAUACCGAAUGUGCCCUUCGGGGGAAAGAUUUAUCGCCUUUAGAGCGGCCCGCGUCUGAUUAGCUAGUUGGUUGAGGUAAUGGCUCACCAAGGCGACGAUCAGUAGCUGGUCUGAGAGGAUGAUCAGCCACAUUGGGAAUGAGACACGGCCCAAACUCCUACGGGAGGCAGCAGUGGGGAAUCUUGCGCAAUGGGCGAAAGCCUGACGCAGCCAUGCCGCGUGAAUGAUGAAGGUCUUAGGAUUGUAAAAUUCUUUCACCGGGGACGAUAAUGACGGUACCCGGAGAAGAAGCCCCGGCUAACUUCGUG
RNAcentral lists this ribosomal RNA (434 nucleotides) under uncultured bacterium. Its description in RNAcentral is "partial 16S ribosomal RNA". It matches the Rfam family "Bacterial small subunit ribosomal RNA", at positions 29 to 507 of the family's 1533-position model. The record is from RNAcentral.